AGGGAUGUAAGUCAGUGACAGAACAUCUACUUUGCAUGCACAAGGUCCCAGGUUCAAUCCCUGACAUCUCCA
Molecule: non-coding RNA, 72 nt
Organism: Podarcis lilfordi (Lilford's wall lizard)
Lineage: Eukaryota; Metazoa; Chordata; Lepidosauria; Squamata; Lacertidae
Source: the annotation of a GenBank genome assembly